CAUGUUUUAUAGUUUCCUUUUACUUUUCACGAUGAAGAUGCCAAUAUCAUUAUACUACAAUUUUGCUACGUAGUAGCAUAUCUUACAGGGUAAGCAAAGUUUCUGAAGCAUGAAAAGUAAAAGGAAACUAUUAUAAAACAUGCAUUUAUACAAGCAGCACUACAAACAUUUUCCCAAAGGCUUAGCUCUUGACACUUCCUUGAACAAAAAUUUCUCCCAAUUUCACUUCUGAGAACGGCUUAGUUAAUGGAUGCUGUUUAUCUAUUAGCUGGGAACAAACUUGUUUCAUGGUUGGCCGAGAUUGAGGAUUGGCACUCAAGCAAGCAAGUGCAAGUUGCGCAAUAUGCAUCACUCGCUCAGCAGCUUUGUUUUGAGGAGUUGGGAGGCGUUGGUCAAUCACAUCCUUAAAUAGUGUCUGAUGUUCUAUUGGCGAGGAGGGCAAUGAAAAUGUAAAUGAAACAGAUGAAAUGAAAUCACCUGGAUGUCUUCCCAUUAGAAUUUCAAGUGUCACCACACCAAAACUGUAAACAUCACAUUUUUCAUUGACGAUCAUGGUGUAAGCUAGCUCUGGUGCCGAGUACCCAAAUGUGCCUGCUAAUGAGGUCCAAUUUGAUGAGUCUGGCAUUAAGAUCCUAGCUGUUCCAAAAUCAGAGACAUGAGCCUCAAACUCUGAAUCCAAUAGAACAUUGUUACUGGAAAU
RNAcentral lists this unclassified non-coding RNA (700 nucleotides) under Hevea brasiliensis (rubber tree). The record is from RNAcentral. Lineage: Eukaryota; Viridiplantae; Streptophyta; Magnoliopsida; Malpighiales; Euphorbiaceae.